AAACACACCCUAACCUAACCUAACCUAAGAAGCGAUACAAAGCGGCACAGGUCAAAAGAAGAAGAAGAAGAAGAAGAAGACCCAGCCAGCCUGGCGGACACGUGCUGGACCCAUCAGCGUGGACAACCUGGCACACCCCCGGCCAAUACGCAGACCACACUGACCCACCUCCGACAGUCCUCCAACAGACACUGGACCACCAGACUAACGGCUGACCUCAGAAAGCUCACGGUACAGAUACUCCCCCGCCCAGCACCACUCCCCCAGCCGUCCCCUGGACACACCCGCCUGAGGACUGGCCACACCCGCCUCACCUGCACAGAUUGAACAUAGUCCAUACUACCCAUGGUGCCCCCCACACACCAGAACAUCUCCUCCACUGCCCAAGAUUCCACUCACCAACCUCAAGGCAUCCCUAACCAGCCUCCGCAUUUACAGGCCAACCCUAGAGGACCUGCUGGGCAGCGACACCCUCAGCCCCAACACAGCCUUCCAAGUGUACGCAAACCUUCCUGCAGAAGUCGGGGCAGCAACUCGACAGGAUCUAACCCCACUCUGGUGACAGAACGACAAACCAACUACCACUGAAGGGGCUGUGGAGGCUGUGGCCCCACAGCCCCAUAAAACACCCAAGAAGAAGAAGAAGGUGAUGCCCCAGAGGAUAUGGACCCCGCCAGCCACCCAGUGCCCCCUCCCUCCCUCCUCCUACUGGUGAUGGGAGAAGACAGGAGGAUGAGGAGGAGAGAAGAAGAAGAAGGAGGAGGAGGAGGAGGAGGAGUGCCUGAUCCAGCAAGGUGAUUCACUGUCCCCUGUCACUGUCCGUCCACCCUCAGGGAAGCCCUUUGAGAUCCAGGAUGUGUGAAGGAGAAGAGGAUGAUGACAGCUCUGAGUCAGCCAUGACAGAGGAAGCCCCAGGACUGCUCUGGAGACUAAGGCAAGAAAGAAGGAAGCCACCCAGAUUAACCUCUCCCUCUUGGCUCUGGUGGACCUCAAGGGCAGCCACGUCCCCUACAGUGACUCCAAGCUCACCAGGGCAAGACAGAGACAGAAGUUGAUAUUCUCAGACACUUCCGCCUCUCACGUCAGCUAUUUCCAAAGGCCGAAAAGGAUAUCAAUCACAUUCUAAAGAAGCCCACAAUGCCAACGAUGAUGGCGAACAGGACCCCAAAUACUAUGCCGGUAAUAGCUCCUGCAGAGAGUCCCUCAGGAGAGGUGGUGGUGGUGGGGGUGACACUGGUGGUGGAGGCUGUGGCAAGUCUCUCACAGCGAUUGCCAGUGUAUUCGCUUGGACAACUGGAAGAAAGGCAUUACUUCACAGGAUCUUAAAGAUGCUGGACCAUAUCCACUUUGACAAUAAUGAAAAACUCCAAGUUGGACGCUCUCCUUUCCCAUCCGUUGCACAAAGUCCACCGUUCUGGCAGUAGCUGUCAGGGCAGCUUCCACACAGAGAUUCAUCAGCACUGUAUGUGGAACACUCAGUAAUCCCGUCACACUCAUAGUCCACUCUCAUGCAUGGGUGGCCAGACAUGAAUGGGUCUCCACAGUAAAAGAAGCCAACAUCACACUGGGCAUUGUCUGUGGGUGAAAAUGAGGUACAGUCAAGUGUGGAAGCAACUUGAUACAACUUGGUAUGUGUAGACAUGGAAUUUGCCUUUUAUUUGACUUUUGGCAAGUCAAAUAAAAGGCAAGGUGGUGCAGGACAUGGCAAAUGAAUAGCCUGCAGCUCUGUUUGGAGGCAACUUAAUCCCCCCCAUCACCGGCAGGCCACUUGCUGCUCAUUUGCCUGGCUCAACAUGGCUCAACAUGUGGUUGGUGGUGGCAACCUCUCUAGCUCACUUGCAGGGCAGCCAUUGUGUAGAUCACUUGCAUUUUACAUAUUGCUAUUUGUUGUGUUCAAUGUUUUCAAAAAUUCGUGCAAGGGGGUUUGAGAAAUGUAGUUGUAUGCGCCAUUUGUUUUGGAAAACUUUUGUUGGCCUACAAAACAGUAAAAUUUGAUACACUUG
Eriocheir sinensis (Chinese mitten crab) is the source of this 2003-nucleotide long non-coding RNA. RefSeq lists it as uncharacterized. The record is from RefSeq and is a predicted model, not a curated record. NCBI's taxonomy places the organism in Eukaryota, Metazoa, Arthropoda, Malacostraca, Decapoda, Varunidae. The transcript has 6 exons.